RNAcentral lists this ribosomal RNA (401 nucleotides) under Fibroporia radiculosa. RNAcentral describes it as "SSU rRNA". It matches the Rfam family "Bacterial small subunit ribosomal RNA", at positions 526 to 939 of the family's 1533-position model. The record is from RNAcentral. Lineage: Eukaryota; Fungi; Basidiomycota; Agaricomycetes; Polyporales; Fibroporiaceae.
CCAGAGACGCAAACGUUAAUCAUCAUAAACAGGCGUAAAGGGUUUGUAGGCUGCUUUGAAAAUCUUAAUUUAAAAUAGCCAAAGUAAAUUAAGACCAAUUAAAGCUAGAAUCAAAUAGAGGUUAUAUUAAAUAAUACUUAGAGGAGAGAUUAAAUCCAUAGAUCCUAAGGAGAAUACUAAGGGCGAAAGCAUUUUACCACUAAUGAUUGACGCUGAGAAACGAAGGUGAGGAUAGGAAAUAGGAUUAGAUACCCCGGUACCCCUCUCUGUCAACGAUGAAUGGUAGUUCCUAGUUAAAAUAACUAGAGGCGAUGUUAACACGUUAACCAUUCCGCCUUGUGAGUACGAUUGCAAAAUUGAAAACAAAAAAAUUAGUCGGUCUCGGAGCAAACGAAGUGAAG